UUUUCGCCUCUUCUUGUUUUUUUUUUCCGAGUCGUUCCAAAGUCAUCCGCAUCAUGCAUACAUCAUAUACAUGCCUUUGACAAAAUAAAAGUUAUUUUAAAUAAACCCUAUUUCACUAUUUUAUUCUCAUAUGGUUCUAUAUGAGCCCUCCUUUAAUCUUUGCUUAUUUAACCAAAACCUUCUAGUUCUUAUUUGCAUUUAAAAUCCCAAAGAAAAAUAAAUAUUUUUUAAGCCUUGUAAAAUUGUUUUGCAAUGCAAAUAAAGCUUUUCAAAUCUUUCCAAACCCUCCUCUUUCUUGUCCAAGAAAUUCAGCAAGAGAAAGAAAAGAAGGGAGCUAUUCUGGAGAAGAGGAAAGUAGCCAGGGAACCAACAUGCCAGACUGAAUCGCCUUGCUGGUUGUCUUCUGUCAUGCAAGGCGCGUGACCACGACGUCCUCCGUGCUGGCUGUGCGCUCCUCCUCCACCACUUCCUCCCACCUGCUCCUCCUUAUCCCUAACCAGAUCCCCAAGUGAACCCUAGUCUUCCUCCUCUACCGCCGCCGCCCUCUUUCCCUUCUCCACGGCAACAUCAGGCACAAAAUCUUCUUCAGAAAAUCCAGCUAAGACACCAAGUUUCGCCGGAGAUAAAUCCACGCGUCUCCGCCGUUCCUCGCCGCCCUCUGCCGUGCUGACCACGAGAAUGGAGCCCCCGUGGCCUCUCUUCCUCCUCGCUGAGUUCCUGGAGCAGGUGCAGUUCCUGGACGCCUUCUUUGACCUCGUCUUCUUCCUUGAGUCAGCCCGUCCUCUUCCUCUUCUCUGAUGACUCCCACGUCCUCGAGCUCGCCCACUUCGUCAUCAAACCCAGGCUAAAACAAUCUUCAUCAGUUUGUCUCCGUCGGCGUGCAAAGAUUAUUCUGCGUCUUGGAUUGGAUGGUGUUCGCGAGCACCCUCUUUUGAUCAGCAACCGGAGCAUUUGCUUCUUCCCGGAUAGGAUCACGAAGUGGUAUGGUGAGAUAUGACGAGUUCUCCGACAAGUUCUUCUGCAGCUUUUCACAGGCGAGCCCUCUCUCUUCACCUAUUUUAUAUUUUGCUCUCCCUCGCACUGCUAUACAUAGGUUGCGCUUCUUUAUCGAGUCACGUGUCCUAUUCCACUUGUUACCAUAAUAAUCCUAUAUGUAUCAUUCCUUACCCAUAGCCGUUGCUUGAUGUUUGAGCCUUGCGAGUCGUAGGCGUGUUUAGGCUUUGUUGUUUAUCUCGAUCUGUUAUCGGGAUAUGUUGGGUUGUUGGGAGGUUAUCACAUGUUAUAUCAGUUGUUGAAGAUACACAUGCUUUACUUGUUUGUUAACAACUAAAAUUGUAAGCAGCGGCAUCUGUGAGCCCCUUUGCGAAAGCAUCGGAACUUUGACUUGCUAAUGUCCCCUAGGACCCGAGUUCUUGUUAUCUGUUCCGAGAUUGAGCGCUCUACCCGUACGUGGGGGAGUGGGACCCCCAUCACCCACUACCUUUCCUCGAGUCUGUUUAUUGGGAGCCACAACCUUGGUUUUAUUUGCUCAUAUGCACGAUGCACGAUUUACUUCUGUUGCCUUCGGGUGUUU
Lolium perenne is the source of this 1573-nucleotide long non-coding RNA. RefSeq lists it as uncharacterized. The record is from RefSeq and is a predicted model, not a curated record. Lineage: Eukaryota; Viridiplantae; Streptophyta; Magnoliopsida; Poales; Poaceae.